UCUUCAUCUCGCACAUUCUCUCACCGAACAGAGAGGCGAGAUAGUGUGCGAAAUGAAGAGA
Molecule: microRNA precursor, 61 nt
Filed under: Pristionchus pacificus
Lineage: Eukaryota; Metazoa; Nematoda; Chromadorea; Rhabditida; Neodiplogasteridae
Description: mir-8364 microRNA precursor family
Rfam family: mir-8364 microRNA precursor family
Source: Rfam by way of RNAcentral